CUCAGUUGGUUGUUGGGGGUGAAUUGCAACCAGACGGUGAGGUUAGUGACUCGGGAUGCACCGCACUACCUUUCGGCCCCUUCUUCUGAUCGCAUUCCGAACCCCGGUUGUGUAAACGUUGUCAACUUGUGUGCCAUGUGGAUGGUGAGAAGCAGCCCUUGAAGACAAUGAAAUGUGAGGGAUUCAGCUUCAUGCUGGCCAAGAGCAAUGGAUGUGCAUUCAUUGACAACUGGGACCUCUUCUAUGGUGGCAAGAGCACCUUGUAUGCCAGGGAUGGAGUGCGUUUAUCAUGCCAGGGUGUUUGAAUUUGGCUGGAACACUUGAGUGGGAGGGACAAGAAUUGGCUGAUGGACUAUUACCUUCCAAAGAACUGUGGUAGAGACAGACAACAACACAGAUGACAUGAAGCAUGGAAGCAACACUUUGGCACAUCUAUGACUUCCUUGCACUGUGUGCCAAGAACAGCAACAGCAUGGCUCUGGCAACACUCCACUGCCUCAACAAAUCUCGGAUGUCUAUGAGAUGAUGAGUCCCCAGAGGGUCACGAAUCUCAGCAGGUGUGAAGUACAGAUGACCGAAGACUGUGACUCACAACUUUGUAUCCAUUUACUUGCAUCCUGUAUAAUUGGGCCAUGUGCGCAGGGUGAAUCAAUUGUAGCUGAGUACUAAUAAAGAUAAAUAACAAUGUAUCAGUA
RNAcentral lists this unclassified non-coding RNA (695 nucleotides) under Portunus trituberculatus (swimming crab). RNAcentral's name for it is "uncharacterized LOC123518302, transcript variant X7". Lineage: Eukaryota; Metazoa; Arthropoda; Malacostraca; Decapoda; Portunidae. The record is from RNAcentral.